CAGAGUUGCAAAACUCCCAACCCUUGUGAACAGUACCUGAGAAUGUUGCCUCGGCGGAGCAGCCGCUCCCGUAACGGGAGCGGCCCGCCGCAGGAAACCCUAAACUCUGUUUUUUUGGAAUCUUCUGAGUAGCUAUACAAAUAAGUCA
This 148-nucleotide unclassified non-coding RNA is filed under the name soil metagenome. Its description in RNAcentral is "partial internal transcribed spacer 1". The record is from RNAcentral.